CAAUGAAUAUGGUUGGCUCAAUGACAACUGCUAUAUUGCUCAAGUAGCAUAGUGAUGUGGAGAUCGAGUGUGUUUCAACCAUGGAUGUAAGAGUAUCAUUAAGUGACAGCAAUACAAAUCACCAAGCAAGUACUUUCCACUUUUGUAUAUUUAUUUGUUGAGUAACUACUCUAGUCUCUAGAUUGUCUAGUGUUUAAGUUAUCAUAUGUGUGUUUGUAUAAUUUAGUUUGUAAUGUUUGUUACUAUAGAUAUUUGUAAUUGAAUUUGAGCUACUAAUUUAGUAAACAAUUAUUUAUUGAA
Nicotiana attenuata is the source of this 300-nucleotide long non-coding RNA. RefSeq lists it as uncharacterized. Lineage: Eukaryota; Viridiplantae; Streptophyta; Magnoliopsida; Solanales; Solanaceae. The transcript has 2 exons. The record is from RefSeq and is a predicted model, not a curated record.